RNAcentral lists this long non-coding RNA (1119 nucleotides) under Panax ginseng (ginseng). RNAcentral describes it as "long non-coding RNA (PGIN_LNC009180)". Lineage: Eukaryota; Viridiplantae; Streptophyta; Magnoliopsida; Apiales; Araliaceae. The record is from RNAcentral.
UCUAAGAGGGCCCUAUUAGAAAGAUGGGAACCAUGGGGGAGAGAACACGUAUCUUAGUAACAUGUGGGAAUUAGACUAAGAUGACUAGACAAGAUAGAGACAAUGAUAGCAUAACAAAGAGACAAAACAACACAUAAGAGAGAAAAAGUAAGAAACCAGGAAGAGAGAGAACGCACCAUUCAUUCACCACGAACCUCAGGGAUGACCCAUGGAAAGAUAGAGAUCUAGAGAGAUAGGGAGAAGAACCCUAAGAAAGUUAACCAAGAUUAACCACUUCAACUUUCCAACCCUUGGAGCUUUUCUUCCCUAAGAUCCUUGUUGCUAUUUCAGGUGUUGUCAUGCUCUCAUUCAUGCUCAUGGGAUGAACUACUUCCUAGUCAAGCAAUCAACCAGCAAGUCCAACUGAUUGAUGGCUACUAUUUGUGGGCAUACACCCUCUUGGUAAUUGUUCCUUUUCUUCUUAAUUAUUGUCUUUCAAUAUUGUUAUAUAUAUAUAUAUAUAUGAUGAGUGGAUAAUAUACUCAUGAAUUGAGUAUUUUUAGGCUUAAUAUAUUGUUUGUUUUUGAGUAUUUUAGGAUAUUUUUUACUUGUUUAGUUGUUAUUUUGCAGGUUAGGGCAAAGCAAAGGCAAAACAUGAAUGUUUGGGCUUAAAAGGAAAUUUUUGGAAAUUUCUAGCACUACAGCCCCGGGGCGCUGUUUAUAUAAUAAAUCCUAGUGCCAAGGAGCUGGGAGGCAGAGUUUGUUGGUCGAGAAUUGCAAGGCUGGGAAUCAAAAGGCAAAAGUCUAAUCUAAAUAGGAUUAUAUGUGAAGCUGACGUGGAGGAGACUAAUAACUAUAAAAGGGAGAAUACUAUUCAUCUACAUGGAGACGGAGAUUGACUUGGAUAACUGGAGAUAGAGAUUGAAGGUUUGUAGAGCGUUACAAGGAAUUUAGGCUGAAGACUUGAAGAAUGAAGAACAUUUACUGAGUUUUUCUUUUCUUCCUUAUUCAGAUUUGUAAUUUAUUUGUGAUGGCUUGUUUGUGAUUUUUGGUUUUAAUUUUUAGCAUGAACUAAAUUUAUAAUUAAGACUGUAAUUGAACCUUUUAUGCUUAUGAAUUACUUAUUUAUUGAAGUCUAAU